Toxotes jaculatrix (banded archerfish) is the source of this 237-nucleotide long non-coding RNA. RefSeq lists it as uncharacterized. The transcript has 3 exons. NCBI's taxonomy places the organism in Eukaryota, Metazoa, Chordata, Actinopteri, Toxotidae. The record is from RefSeq and is a predicted model, not a curated record.
AAGAGAGACAGACGGAAGAAGAAUCAAGCCAGGGGAAGGAUGUGAAGGACAGGAUGAGAUGAAGAAAUAUACUGGAGGGAAGCCUGUAAAAAGCUGGUGGUAGCUGGGGACUGUGGCAGCCAUGAUGGAUGUGAUGUCACAUCGCAACUCCCACCCAUCCUGACCUCCCAUGAUUCCUCAUCUGCUGCAGGCUCCAGGAGAAUGGGAUACUGGAAAAGAGCUGGGAUGCACAGUAGG